Molecule: ribosomal RNA, 305 nt
Filed under: uncultured bacterium
Lineage: Bacteria
Description: bacterial SSU rRNA
Rfam family: Bacterial small subunit ribosomal RNA
Source: RNAcentral
UUAUUCCUACGGGAGGCAGCAGUGGGGGAUAUUGCACAAUGGGGGAAACCCUGAUGCAGCGACGCCGCGUGAGCGAUGAAGUAUUUCGGUAUGUAAAGCUCUAUCAGCAGGGAAGAAAAUGACGGUACCUGACUAAGAAGCCCCGGCUAACUACGUGCCAGCAGCCGCGGGAAUACGUAGGGGGCAAGCGUUAUCCGGAUUUACUGGGUGUAAAGGGAGCGUAGACGGCCAGACAAGUCUGAAGUGAAAAUCCAGCGCUUAACGUUGGAAGUGCUUUGGAAACUGCCGGGCUGGAGUGCAGGAGG